AUUGGCCUCUGCUGCUACUGAAGGUGACAGUGUGGCGUCAGGAGGGGCCAGUUCACACAGGGGGGAAUCUGUGGAAUCUUUUCCCAUACUGAGCCGAAAUGCGAGCAUGAACAUGGAACGAGACUGGGACAACGGCUCAACAGCCUCAUCUAUCACAUCUGUAGCAGAAUACAAUGGGCCCAAAUUAUUUAAGGAGCUUAGACGCGUAGAUGCUCUCACCAUCCACGGUCACCUGUGGCAGGCCAAGCGGCCGAGCACGUCAAAGAGAAAAUGAUCCCGCUGCUUUCCCAUAGGCUCAUGGAUCCAUCCGCUGCUUUCUGAUUGGCUACUGGGUUAUAUUCCAGUCUCAUAAACUGCCAUUUUGAUAAUGAGCAUGCCGGCUAAUAUUCUAUUGGUCCACUAGACUCCCGUUUUCCUAUUGGCCACUGCGCUGUUACACAAGCAGAGCUGAGGAAGUCAGAAAUGGGUGGAGCUUGAUGUUUGAUUGACAGAUUUAAUGAAUGUGUUUCAGGAUUACGUCAUCGUUCAGUGUUGGUUUUUUUUUAGGCAGGAAUCUGCAUGUGACACUUUUCUGUUUGAUUUUACCAUAGUAUUAAUUUACACAGGGAACAAAAGACGACACUCCCACUACUUGAACUAUGAAUUAUGGUUGCUAUCGUUACUCGGGCACGUGCAAAUGUGUGUACGAGCGCGUCCGUUUUUUUUUGCAUUUCUCAUACCUCUCCAUAUGCUGCUGUUCAUCCAUGACACUCACUUUAGCAGUGCAAUGCAAUGAACACGUGACAAGGGAUCUGAGUGUGUGUGU
Molecule: long non-coding RNA, 805 nt
Organism: Cyprinus carpio (common carp)
Lineage: Eukaryota; Metazoa; Chordata; Actinopteri; Cypriniformes; Cyprinidae
Exons: 3
Source: RefSeq, a predicted model, not a curated record